This 224-nucleotide long non-coding RNA is filed under the name Brassica rapa (field mustard). RNAcentral's name for it is "long non-coding RNA (BRAP_LNC002083)". The record is from RNAcentral. Lineage: Eukaryota; Viridiplantae; Streptophyta; Magnoliopsida; Brassicales; Brassicaceae.
UUUGGACCACAUUUCUUUAACGCCUUUUGUUUGUCAUUCGUUCUUUUUCCCUUACUCGUUUUCAAUGUCGACCCACAUACUUUCGCUUAAUUGUAAAACAGGCUUCUCUUAAACAUAUUCUAUCUCUUAUCCACCCCCAAGCCUCCUUCACGUUCUCCUCACUCUUCUAUAUAAAAGACCGUCUUCUUCUUCAUUGAUGAGACCGACUACACGAUAAAACCCUA